Dermacentor albipictus is the source of this 529-nucleotide long non-coding RNA. RefSeq lists it as uncharacterized. NCBI's taxonomy places the organism in Eukaryota, Metazoa, Arthropoda, Arachnida, Ixodida, Ixodidae. The record is from RefSeq and is a predicted model, not a curated record.
CCGAUGCCUGGCACCCGUCAAGAGCACUCGGAGAGGACACUUCUACGCAGGCCGGGAGUCCCCCACGAUCGCUUUGUAGCAUGCGCUUCGUGCUAGCAGUCCUGUGGGCUUGGACCCCGCAGCUGUACCAUCUUUCCAAUGGAAAGUUCAUUACGGAGAUUGUGCCCGUAGAUGUGCGCGGUGACUGCUGGUACGACGAAACAACGGUUGACCAUGGUAGAUAUUUCAACCUCGACACUCCAUGCGAAGAAUGGUACUGCCGGGGCGCGACAAAUGAAACUCACGGCACGCUAGUUCGUAAAACUUGCACGUUGCCUGACCUACCAAGUCACUGCAGGCUAGCGAGAGGCAGAGGCCGGCGUUUCCCCCAUUGUUGCCCGCGUAGAGUCUGUCGCUUUGACGAUUGGUCCGAUGAAGAUAUGAAGACUGACAUCGAAACGCAGUACUUUGGAAUGCGGGGAAUCUAGGCAACGGAAAAUGAGAUACAAGAUCAACAGAGUUGUGAUGGAACGUGUCAAUAAACUAUUCU